Penaeus monodon (black tiger shrimp) is the source of this 332-nucleotide long non-coding RNA. RefSeq lists it as uncharacterized. The transcript is spliced from 3 exons. The record is from RefSeq and is a predicted model, not a curated record. NCBI's taxonomy places the organism in Eukaryota, Metazoa, Arthropoda, Malacostraca, Decapoda, Penaeidae.
GUUUUCUUAGCCUUUUUACUCAGGAAAACGUUUCAAACGCGUUCUGCUGCAACGCCAUCUUGGGACCGCCGCGUCCCGAUCCCUGCAAAGACAUUGUGUUUUUUUGAGGUUUUAUUCAGAUGCUUAAAGUGAACAGCAGAGAGAGCAUUAGAAGGGCAAGCAGCUUAAAGUGCAGACGUGAUGGGCAAGAAAAUCUGAAUUAAUGGAGGUUGCAAAAACACACAAAAUUCAUCAGUGAACUUUAUAUGGUUUGCUGUAUUCCACUUCAAAAGGGACUAAAAAAAGCCGAGUUCCAGACCCCGCUUAAGAUGGAUUAAAUAAAUGCCAAUAGA